Molecule: unclassified non-coding RNA, 19 nt
Filed under: Chlamydomonas reinhardtii
Lineage: Eukaryota; Viridiplantae; Chlorophyta; Chlorophyceae; Chlamydomonadales; Chlamydomonadaceae
Description: small RNA Cre_2062
Source: RNAcentral
GUGGGGGAGGGCAGGGGGC